CCACCCCCACCCCGUAGCUUCUGGAACCACGCCCUGUUCUCCUGCCUCCUUUUGCAAUAAUCCAGGACCCGGGCCUGCUCUCUUGAUGUCAAGCUGUCUACUCAUGUGUGUGUCCACCUCACCUUCCAUUCAUGGAGGCCACUCCUACUUUCUUUUAUAUGGACAAAAAUGUAUAUAUAUAAGAAUUAUAUAUAUAUAAGGAACCCCUUUAAAGAUGAUUUUGGAAUUGAUAUCAAGAUGAAAUAAGAUGAAGGAAAAGCCCAUUUCAGAACUCUACCUGUUAGUGAGGAAGGCUGUUACCUGGCCCCUUGGUGGCCCAGACACUCUGGGAGAGGAUGUGCUGACCUCCUCUCACUCCCUUUUCCCCUCUUCCGGCUGACCUGUGACUUACACUGCUCUUACAGUUGAUGUUUGGAAUAAAUAGACAGUAUGUGUGUGUGUGUGUGUGUGUGUGUGUGU
This is a long non-coding RNA of Lontra canadensis (Northern American river otter), 459 nucleotides long. RefSeq lists it as uncharacterized. The record is from RefSeq and is a predicted model, not a curated record. Lineage: Eukaryota; Metazoa; Chordata; Mammalia; Carnivora; Mustelidae. The transcript is spliced from 3 exons.